RNAcentral lists this ribosomal RNA (504 nucleotides) under uncultured bacterium. RNAcentral's name for it is "partial 16S ribosomal RNA". It matches the Rfam family "Bacterial small subunit ribosomal RNA", at positions 28 to 522 of the family's 1533-position model. The record is from RNAcentral.
GAUGAACGCUAGCUACAGGCUUAACACAUGCAAGUCGAGGGGUAACGAGAGGAAAGCUUGCUUUCCUUGUCGACGACCGGCGCACGGGUGAGUAACGCGUAUCCAACCUGCCCCCAACUAGGGAAUAACCUUGCGAAAGUAAGACUAAUACCCUAUAAUUUCCUCAGAUGUCAUCUGACGAGGAAUAAAGAUUUAUCGGUUGUGGAUGGGGAUGCGUCUGAUUAGCUUGUUGGCGGGGUAACGGCCCACCAAGGCAACGAUCAGUAGGGGUUCUGAGAGGAAGGUCCCCACAUUGGAACUGAGACACGGUCCAAGCUCCUACGGGAGGCAGCAGUGAGGAAUAUUGGUCAAUGGGCGGAAGCCUGAACCAGCCAAGUAGCGUGCAGGAUGACGGCCCUAUGGGUUGUAAACUGCUUUUAUACAGGAAUAAAGUUAGCCACGUGUGGUUAUUUGUAGGUACUGUAUGAAUAAGGACCGGCUAAUUCCGUGCCAGCCGCCGCGUAA